AUACGUAGGGAGCGAGCGUUGUCCGGAAUUACUGGGUGUAAAGGGAGCGUAGGCGGGAGUGCAAGUCAGAUGUGAAAUACAUGGGCUCAACCCAUGGGCUGCAUUUGAAACUGCAUUUCUUGAGUGAAGUAGAGGUAAGCGGAAUUCCUGGUGUAGCGGUGAAAUGCGUAGAUAUCAGGAGGAACACCGGUGGCGAAGGCGGCUUACUGGGCUGUUACUGACGCUGAGGCGCGAAAGCGUGGGGAGCAAACAGGAUUAGAUACCCUGGUAGUCCACGCUGUAAACGAUGAUUACUAGGUGUGGGGGGACUGACCCCUUCCGUGCCGCAGUUAACACAAUAAGUAAUCCACCUGGGGAGUACGGCCGCAAGGUUGAAACUCAAAUGAAUUGACGGGG
Molecule: ribosomal RNA, 396 nt
Filed under: uncultured bacterium
Lineage: Bacteria
Description: partial 16S ribosomal RNA
Rfam family: Bacterial small subunit ribosomal RNA
Source: RNAcentral